RNAcentral lists this ribosomal RNA (774 nucleotides) under uncultured Neocallimastigales. RNAcentral describes it as "partial large subunit ribosomal RNA". It matches the Rfam family "Eukaryotic large subunit ribosomal RNA", at positions 24 to 616 of the family's 3401-position model. Lineage: Eukaryota; Fungi; Neocallimastigomycota; Neocallimastigomycetes; Neocallimastigales. The record is from RNAcentral.
UAUGUGAUCGUCUCUCGCAUAUCAAUAAGCGGAGGAAAAGAAACUAACAAGGAUUCCCCUAGUAACGACGAGUGAAGCGGGAAGAGCUCAAAUUUGAAAUCUUAAAGGGUUUCCCUUUACGAAUUGUAGUUUAAAGAAGUGUUUUCUGUUGAGGUUUUGGUAAAAGUUCUUUGGAAUAGGACAUCAUAGAGGGUGAGAAUCCCGUAUUUGACCUUUACUUUCAACUUUGUGAUACACUUUCAAAGAGUCGGAUUGUUUGGGAAUGCAGUCCAAAAUGGGUGGUAAAUUUCAUCUAAAGCUAAAUAUUGGCGAGAGACCGAUAGCGAACAAGUACCGUGAGGGAAAGAUGAAAAGAACUUUGAAAAGAGAGUUAAACAGUACGUGAAAUUGUCAAAAGGGAAGCGUUUGACACCAGUGUUGUUUUUCUGAAAAUCAAUUAAAGAACUGUUUAUGCUAAGCUGUUUAGACUUUAUCAGCUAUCUGUUUAGUUUUGAGCUUUUCUUUAAUGCACUUUUCAGUUAACAAGUCAACAUCAAUUUCUUUUGCUGUAAAAAAGCUUGAGGAAGGUGGCUUGAGAUUCGUCUUAAGUGUUUAUAGCCUCUUGCCUAUGCAGUCGGAGAGAUUGAGGUCUGCAGCGUAGAUCCUUCGGGGCUAAAUGCAUUUGUGCUAAGUUAUAGCAUUUUAUAGACAACUUGUUGACUAUGAUUUGUCUUGUAGCUUACUCGCUUAUGUUAUUUUACCUACGCUUAGGAUGUUGAGCGCAUGUCUCUCUCU